RNAcentral lists this long non-coding RNA (1336 nucleotides) under Calidris pugnax (ruff). RNAcentral's name for it is "lncRNA (ENSCPUG00000017445.1)". Lineage: Eukaryota; Metazoa; Chordata; Aves; Charadriiformes; Scolopacidae. The record is from RNAcentral.
GUGGUGCGGCCCUGCCCGCGCCUGCGCCAAGCGCGCGGCGAGCGCGGGGGCUGCCGGGAAGGGGCGGUGGCGGGGCGGUUCCGGUGCGGGCGGAGCGGGCGCUCCCCGGGGGCGCGGGGCGGGAUUCCCCGCACACACACACACACACGUGGGGACGGGAGGUCCCGCCCGGGCCUGGCCCGAGCCCCCGUAACGGGCGGCUGUUCCCGGUCAAUGACGGCGGUUCCCGGCAGAGACCCAGAGCCGCGCUGCGGGGUAAGGACCCGCUUUCCCGGUAGCGGCCGUCGCUCAAGGUAACGGCGGUAGCUGGUAAAGGACCCCACGACCGCACCGGCGGCUCCCGGGUGAGUCUGGGAGGCCGGUCAGGGCUCUGGGUCCCGCCAGCUCCCCGGGAGAGCUCUGACCCGGGGCCUGCGGGGAGAGCGGGGAACCCCCCGGCGUGCGGGAGUCCCCGGCCGGCCCUCUCUGUCCCCUCCCCGCUGCCACAGGGACACGAAGGAGCGCACUGCAUUUGCGGCCACACUAAAGACCAGAGUCACAUCAAACCAUCUGCAAGUCACCUCCCUUGCCUUUCUGGACCAUCCACAGCACAGCCUGGGAAGAAUUUCUGCCUGUGAUUCUCAGAGGUAUCUAGUCAGUUCCCAGAGCUCAGUUCCUGGUGAAGAUGUGCCAGGCAUCUUCCAAAGGAAUUUGCUGCCUCUUACCAUGUACUGCAGCUGGGAUUCAGAGACAGUUUUCCUAGUUUGUGUAGUAACUCCCAGCAUAGAAGCGCAUGAACUGCCAUCAGCACAAAUUGUCAUAAACCAAAGGAUAAAAUCCACAGACUGGGAACUGUGCUGGAGAGGUAGCUUCAGGUCUAUAAAAUUGUGAGUGUGGGUGUGUGACAGAUCUUAAAUACUGAAUAUAAACAUUAGUAUUUACGCUGGAGGUUGGAAAUAGACUCCUUCAAAGGCAAAGCCACAGGUGGCUCGGGUAAGAUGGAGCAACUUUUCCCGUAAGACCUGGAACAGUGUGAAGGACAACUUUGGCAGGAUCUAUCCUAAAGCUGUUUUGUCUUGUUUUCCUUCUUUGUUUUUUUCUUCUUUUCUUUCAAAGAGCAGGGAGCCUGGGGUAGUUCUUUUGCUGUUUUUGAACGCUGCACACUGAAGCGGGAGCUCAAGUAUAAGACAAAGACUGUUUUUAAAAUGGUUAGGUUUUACUGCCUGGUGAUAUUUUUUCAAAGUACAUUUACUGAAGAUUUAUGUAAAAUCUAUCUUUUGUCUACUUAAAAUAUGUGAAAUGGAUGUACAGGGCAAAAUUUAAUGCAUAUGGGUUUUCAUUAUUUUAAAUCAUUUGC